Molecule: long non-coding RNA, 514 nt
Organism: Capra hircus (goat)
Lineage: Eukaryota; Metazoa; Chordata; Mammalia; Artiodactyla; Bovidae
Exons: 3
Source: RefSeq, a predicted model, not a curated record
GACAGCCUGGGCAGUGUGAGGCCCAGCUGCGCUGUGACGUGUCACGGGUCCUGUGUGUCACAGGUUUGGGGCAGGAGUCACGUUGGUUCCGUGGUAAAGAAAGGCGUUGAACUCUCGCUGACGAGCGUGGAACCGCUGUGAUUGAACACGAGGCUCAGUACCUGGAGAAAACUUUCACCCAUCUCUUUUGGGAAUGAAGACAUGUCUUCACUGGAAAAUGCUGCGGCGGAGUCUGGAGAAGAUCAGAAAGGAAAGGACUCGGAUAUGAAAAACCCGAAUGUAUCUUUGCCUGUAUCACCUCAUGAUGACCUUGCCUCAUCAAGUCAUGAAGACCUGCAUUAUUCAUCAUGUCAUGACCACCUGCACUCGUCAAGUCAGGAAACAACACCCAGACUAGUGAAUUACAAGGCAAGCCUAGAAGAGGGGUCUCUGCUAAUUGGCUAUGUUGUUGUUCAGUUACCCAAUCAUGUCUGACUCUUUGCUGCCCCAUGGACUGCAGCACAUCAGGCCUUCC